UACUCCUACGGGAGGCAGCAGUGGGGAAUAUUGCACAAUGGGGGGAACCCUGAUGCAGCCAUGCCGCGUGAAUGAAGAAGGCCUUCGGGUUGUAAAGUUCUUUCGGUGACGAGGAAGGUUGAUAGGUUAAUAGCCUAUCAAAUUGACGUUAAUCACAGAAGAAGCACCGGCUAACUCCGUGCCAGCAGCCGCGGUAAUACGGGGGGUGCGAGCGUUAAUCGGAAUAACUGGGCGUAAAGGGCACGCAGGCGGUGACUUAAGUGAGAUGUGAAAGCCCCGAGCUUAACUUGGGAAUUGCAUUUCAUACUGGGUCGCUAGAGUACUUUAGGGAGGGGUAGAAUUCCACGUGUAGCGGUGAAAUGCGUAGAGAUGUGGAGGAAUACCGAAGGCGAAGGCAGCCCCUUGGGAAUGUACUGACGCUCAUGUGCGAAAGCGUGGGGAGCAAACAGGAUUAGAUACCCUGGUAGUCCACGCUGUAAACGAUGUCGAUUUGGGGAUUGGGCUUUGAGCUUGGUGCCCGUAGCUAACGUGAUAAAUCGACCGCCUGGGGAGUACGGCCGCAAGGUUAAAACUCAAAUGAAUUGACGGA
This 589-nucleotide ribosomal RNA is filed under the name uncultured bacterium. Its description in RNAcentral is "bacterial SSU rRNA". It matches the Rfam family "Bacterial small subunit ribosomal RNA", at positions 334 to 917 of the family's 1533-position model. The record is from RNAcentral.